This 6219-nucleotide long non-coding RNA is filed under the name Homo sapiens (human). RNAcentral describes it as "HSALNT0389836". The record is from RNAcentral. Lineage: Eukaryota; Metazoa; Chordata; Mammalia; Primates; Hominidae.
AAGUGGAGUAACAUGGUUGUUGAGAAGCUCGUGGCCCCCUAGGCCUGGGCCUCACUGUCUUUACUCCUCCAUACUACAAGAGUGAUGAGGAAGGGGAUGAGGCAGAUGGGGGCUAUGAUCAUGGCCAGGAGUACAUCCUCUGGGGGGUCAGAGAAGGUGGGCUGCACCAGGGAGCAGUUGGCAAAGUGGAUCUGGUGAGUCUCAAAGAUGAUCCUCUCUGCCAAGGGAUUGGGGAAGCCCAGGUCAAACAACUCUGCAAAGUGCUCCAGGCAAUCUCGCAGGGUGCUAUAAGGCCUAGGGGCAGAAGAGGACUUGAGUGAGAGAGGGGGUGGACCCAGGGAGAAGAGUGCCCCACUCUCACUCAGGGUCUACCUGCAAUGAGCAGGUCCACCCCCUGGCCUGAGCCACCCUCCAUCACUGCCCCUACCUGCUAAUCAUGGCCCAGUCGCACCAAUCCUUUUCGAUAGGAUCCAUUUGAUCCUUAUAAUGAUUCCAGCAAAAUUGGACAGCUGUCUCAUAGUUCUUCACCGUCCCCCCUGUAGGUACAGAUGCUACACAAUGACCACACCCCUACCCCUCCCUACAAACCCUCCUGCCCAGGUGCUUGCAAGGUGAACUGCCUGUCUUCAAACGUGGGAACCCUUCAGAAAGUUUCCCUAGCAAAACAUUCUGGCUGAGGACAGAGUCCCAGCUCAGGAAUCCUAUAAUGACUUCCAUGUGCUAAGCACUUUCCAUCCCAGCCUGAUAAGAACUUCCACGUACACCUUUUCCUGGGGUCUUCUCGCCCACUUGUGAGGUGGGCAGCUCAGAGCCGUGCAGGGGCUUUGUAGGAGGACAGGGAGAAAGACCACGAGGAACCCCAAGAAAGAACAGAGGGGAGUGUAGUGGGGCAUCAGCUGGGGUUGGGCAGGCCUCGUGGGAAAGGAACCCUCCCCACUGAACUUGCUCUCGUCCUUACCCUCGGCCACCCUUCCACACCCUGGGUACCCACCUUCUGACCCUGGUGUGCCUGUGGUGGGAAGAGGCUGAGCCAGGGCCUCGUGGGGAUUCAGGACAGCUGUGGGAAGAAACGGGAGAGGAGGGUAACAUAGCGGGGACCCCGGCAGUGGAGCCUGCGAGGGGGGUUGGGGGACUGAGACCCUCCGAAAAUAGGCUACCUUGGAAGAAAAGGAGGAAUAAUCUAGCCCCCACGGACGCCUCAGUGCCGGGGAGGGAGGGGCUGGCACCAGCUCCUUGUCACUCACACCCAGGCCCAAAGCCCCCUCAUCUCUGGCCAGCUUCCGUCCUCCUAAGCCCUCUUCGAGGGGCCGGGGCCAGCACCCCAGCUUUCCCUGGGUGGGAAGCAGCUCAUGCUGCGCCCGCCCCGAGGUGGGGUCAGGGACCGUCCGAGGGCCAGUGCUGCUAGGUACGUCGGUCCUAACCCGCACCCCAGGGCCCGUUCCGGCCUCGGCCAUCCAGCCCCUCUCCCCUCUCCCCUCUCCCCUCCGGGGCCUCUCGCGCCUCCCGCCCGGGCCUCGGGGCGCCGCGCUCACCGCCCAGCAGGAGGAGGAGGCGGAGCGCUGCCGGCCGCCCGACUCGGGUCCUAGGGAGACGCGGGCCGCCGGCGCGCUCCACCCGGAGCGAGGCCAUCGUGCAGCAAGGAGGCGAGGAGCGGCGGCGGCGCUGAGCCGGGCCCGGGUGUGGGGGCGCCUAUAUCCCCAGCCCAAGCUGCAGGAAGCCGCGCCGCUUCCUCGGAGGGGCUGGGACGGCGGCGGCCACGUGGGGGGCGGGGGCGACGCUCGGGGCCCGCGGCUGGAGGGGGAGUCGCUGCCUCACCCGCGCCUGGCGCCCGCGGCUCCCUCCGCCUCGCCGGCGUUGGCCCACCCUCUCGUAGCUCACCCCGCGAGGCUGGACAGCUCCCGGAACCCCGGAACCGGGAUCUAUUUCGGGGGCUCGGCUGCGUGGCGCCCAGGACUCUCCAGGGUCUCCCAGGAUCGCUCCCCGAAUUCGAGUCGCCCCCUCUCUCUUUCGGGAAUACCAGCUGAUGUCAGUCCGCCAGCCAAAACCAGGGAGGAGAAGCGGGAGCCAGCCCUCUGGAGUCGGGAGAAGAAGGUGCCACAGCUCUUCAGGACCACGGUUGGGAGAAAGAAUGGAGGGGUUUUAGAACCUUCAGUGUGCGACUUCAUGUGCCAGUCUUCAUCUCAGGAUCUCAAGCUCUUGGAUCAUGGGCACGGAUAACCUGUUGUCCUCCUCUAUGGUCAAGAGGCUGCUUUUGCAAAGAAUCCAGUGGGAGAGAGUCAAUGGCCUGCUUGACGUGAACUCCAAAGUCCUCCUGAUCAGAAUACCAAUUUCUUACUGGGUCUGGAAAGGAGGAGAGAAGGAUAGAGAGUUUCUUCUAGGACCAAAUUGAUUCCUCCACAAAUAGGAAGAUCCCCAGACUGUGUGCACACACCCUCCUCCUCCUUCCUUCUCCAACCCUGGCUGGACCAUGACAUCACAUGGUGGAGGCUGUUUUUUAAAAAGAACUCAGGCCAGAUUUACAAGAAUGAUGCUCAGGCAGCGUGACUGUCAAGGACCGUGGCCAAGUGACCCAUAGCACACACCCAGCAGUGCUGAGAACAUAGCUAGUCCCUUAGCACCUGGGGCUGACUCAUGGUUGCUGUAGGACCCAAUGCCAGAUGCCAGGAUUGCUUUCUCCCUCCAUUCAUUAGGACUGUCCCAUGAAACCCUCCCCAGGAACCCUUCUACCCCAUCCCGGCAUGCCAGGAGCCUGGAUACUGCAUAACACAGGGUACUCAUAUUUGUUUACCAAGCCUUGAAGAUGACAGGCAAUAUGCUGAUAUGCUCAAUGCAUCAUACAAAUUGUUUUAUUUAAAACUGAACUAUUAAAUUAAGUAUCAUAGCAACUCACUUUACAGACAAGGAAACUGAAGCUCAAAGGUUAAGUAAGGGCCAGGCAUGGUGGCUCACUCCUGUAAUCCCAGCAGUUUGGGAGGCUGAGGUGGGAGGAGGAUUGCUUAAGCCCGCGAGUUUGAGACCAGCCUAGGCAAUAUAGGGAGACCCCAUCUCUACAAAAAAUUAUCUGGGCCUGGUGAUGUGUGCCUGUAGUCCCAGCUACUUGAGAGGCUGAGGUGGGAGGAUUGCUUGAGCCCAGAAGUUGAGGCUGCAGUGAGCCAUGAUCAUGCCAUUGUACUCCAGCCUGGGCAGCAAAGCAAAACCCUGUAUUGAAAACAAACAAACAGGCUGGGCACGGUGGCUCACACCUGUAAUCCCAACACUUUGGGAGGCCGAGGCAGGUGGAUCACCUGAGGUCAGGAGUUAGAGACCAGCCUGGCCAACAUGGUGAAACCCGCCUCUACUGAAAAUACAAAAAUUAGCAGGGCAUUGUGGCACAUGCCAAGGUGGGCAGAUCACCUGAGGUCAGGAGUUCGAGACCAGCCUGGCCAACAUGGUGAAACCCCAUCUCUACUAAAAAUACAAAAAUUAGCUGGGCGUGGUGGUGGGCGCCUGUAGUCCCAGCUACUCAGGAGGCUGAGGCAGGAGAAUCGCUUGAACCUGGGAGGUGGAGGUUGCAGUAAGCCAAGAUAGUGCCACUGCACUCCAGCCUGGGCGACAGACAAAAAAAAAAAAAAAAAGAAGUUGGAGCAGUGUGAAGAAGAGGUGAGAACAACCCCCGGACUGAUCAAAGCCCACAUGCCACUGCAUCCCGCGUCCAGCGCCUACAUCCUGCCACCGUCGCUGCCACCACCAUGCCCAAGAGAAAGGCUAAAGGGGAUGCUAAAGGAGACAAAGCCAAGGUGAAGGACGAACCAUAGAGAAGAUCCACAAGGUUGUCUGCUAAACCUGCUCCUCCAAAGCCACAGCCCAAGCCUAAAAAGGCCCCUGCAAAGAAGGGAGAGAAGAUACCCAAAGGGAAAAAGGGAAAAGCUGAUGCUGGCAAGGAGGGGAAUAACCCUGCAGAAAAUGGAGAUGCCAAAACAGACCAGGCACAGAAAGCUGAAGGUGCUGGAGUUGCCAAGUGAAGUGUGUGCAUUUUUGAUAACUGUGUACUUCUGGUGACUGUACAAUUUCAAAUACUAUUUUUUAUCAAGUUUUAUAAAAAUGCAGAAUUUUGUUUUACUUUUUUUUUAAGCUAUGUUGUUAACACACAGAACACUUCAUUGUUGUUUUUUGGGGAAGGGGCAUAUGUCACUAGUAGAAUGUCUCCAAAGCUGGAUUGAUGUGGGGAAAACACAUUUCCCUUCCAGUUUUGAAAGAUUUCCUCUUGGCUCCCAGGAGGAGGGAUUCCCUGACUUUGACACACAUGGCCACCUUGGCACAAAAGCCUUGUGGUAUGGAAAAACAAAUUCGUUUUUAUGUCCUCUUCUCCCUUUCCAUCCUUCAGCAUAGACUUAACUCCCUUAAGCCCAGACAUCUGUUGGGACCUGACCUCUAGUCAUUGGUUACCAGUGUGUCAGGCAAUCUGGAUUUUCCAGUGAUGCCGCUGAGAUGGCACCUGUCAAAAGAGUAGUGGUUCCAUUUCUAGAUUGUGGAUAUUCAGAUAAAUUCUGCCAUUUUCAUUUCACUUCAUGAAAGUCAGGUUCAGCCUGUGAAAAGUUGUUAAACAACAUGCUAAAUGUGAAAUGUCAACCCUCACUCUAAACUUUCCCUGUUCAGAGCAUCAGAUGAAGACUUCAGUGGCUUUCUGAUUUUUGGUAGUCCAUUGAAGAAGGGAGUUUGAAAGUUGUUGUAUACUGUUAACGAUUGUCUGCCCAUGUCCUGCCUGAAAUGCCAUGAUUGUUUAUGGAACGUAUCUUUAAUAAAGCUGGAUACAGCUUGAAAAAAAAAGAAGUCAACUUGCUACAGAGAAUUGAAUAGGAAAGAAUGAGGAAGAUUGGCUAGAAGGGCAACCUGACAGGGCCCCUCAGGGCACACAGGUCUUUCCCCACUCAGUACUGUCCCUCUCCUGAUUAUGCUUACUUUGUCUAUAGACAGUACCUUUUCACAUUCUUUCCUGCAAGACACAUUAACACAUUAGAUGGACAAUGAAAAAAAAAUACAUUAUUUUCUAGAUGAUAAGCAAGGAUCCAACAUAUGUUAAGCAAACAUGACACUAGUAACAUAUGGGUGUUUAACACAUGGGUGUGAUGUCUGUAAUGUGAGCAUAAGUAAUGUUACAAAAGGCAAUAUUUUCCUCAUCUGUAAAAUGGGGGUGAUAAUAAUAUCUGUAAGUUACAAGGUAUAAAGCACUUAAAGCACAACUUGGCCCAUAGUUAAUACUACAUUAUUCUUACUACUGCCUUAGUGCUUAAGAGCACACACUUUGGAGUCAAGUAAACCUGGGUUUGCAUCCCAGCUCCAUCGCUUAUUUGGCUGUAUCAGACUUUGUGCGACUGGGCAUGGUGGCUCACACCUGUAAUCCCAGCACUUUGGGAGGCUGAGCCAGGCGGAUUACCUGAGGUGAGGAGUUCAAGACCAGCCUGGCCAAUGUGGUAAAACCCUGUCUCUACUAAAAAUACAAAAAAUUAGCCAGGUGCAGUGGCACACACCUGUAAUCCCAGCUACUUGGGAGGCUGAGGCAGAAUUGCUUGAACCUGGGAGACGGAGGUUGCGGUGAGCCAAGAUUGCACCACUACACUCCAGCUUGGGCGACACAGCAAGACUUCGUCUAAAAAAAAAAAAAAGACUGUGUAAGUUACUUAACUCCUCUGAGCUUGUCAUCUUAUCUGCAAAAUGGGAUCACUAGCGUGUAUCUCGCUGAGCGGUACAGAUGAACUAUGUAAAGCAUUUGGCCCAAUGCCUGGCACUGCUAAGCAUGCAAUAAAUGGAAGUUACUAUCAUAAUGUGUAACACAUAUAAUUAUGACAAUUAUAUUUCCAAGAUAUUCUGGGAUCUUUACAGUUUCAUAAUUUUGCUCUUUUUACUAUACAACACUCCUUUUAUUGAAACAAAUACAGAUUUUGGAGUCAGACAGACCUAGUCUGGAUUUGAAUUCCAGCUCUCCUUCUUACCAGCCUGGGGCCAUGGAGAAUGUUGUCCAUUUCCCUGAGCCUCAGUGUUCUUCUCUGUAAAAUGUGGAUGAUACCUGACUCCCAGGCAUUUUGCCAGGAUUACAUGGGAUUCCUACACAGUGCAAUGUCUAGUGAUAAUAUAAAUACUAAAAGCAACUUGUUAAAUGUAUAAAUAAAUGUGAUUUAUUUUUGCUCCUUUACAUACAGUAUCAUGGAUAUAAUUUGUAGAUGUGUGUACUGUGAAUACAAU